GUCCAGGGUAGCCUAGUGGACAUGGCACCUGCCCGGUAAGCAGAAGGUUGUGGGUUCGAUUCCGCCAUCGAGCCGGCCAUCGGACA
Molecule: non-coding RNA, 86 nt
Organism: Cordylochernes scorpioides
Lineage: Eukaryota; Metazoa; Arthropoda; Arachnida; Pseudoscorpiones; Chernetidae
Source: the annotation of a GenBank genome assembly